This is a long non-coding RNA of Tachysurus fulvidraco (yellow catfish), 1603 nucleotides long. RefSeq lists it as uncharacterized. The record is from RefSeq and is a predicted model, not a curated record. Lineage: Eukaryota; Metazoa; Chordata; Actinopteri; Siluriformes; Bagridae. The transcript has 3 exons.
CCGCCAGUAGUGUGUGUGUGUGUGUGUGUGUGUGUCUGUGUGUGUUUGUAUGAGAGAAUGUGUGAGUGGUCAGGAAUUUUUACGGGGCUCAGAAUAUUUGGAGAGUUUGUGUUCUUGUGAAAAGGAAAUACACCUUCUGUGGCGCUACAGGACACCGAAACAGCACCUGAUGGUGUCAUGGCCGUGGUCUGAUGAUGGACAGCCUGAAGCGUGCUGCUGUACGAGCUGGACCUUCUGACCUCAUCACUCUUCCUCUGAUGUGGAUCCUCCUCUUCUUCACGUUGGUGGAUGCACAAGGGAUGCACACAACUUUUUUUAGCCAGGUUCUCAGGAGAGCACUUAGAGAAUGGAACUGGUACUCACCCUUUGCGCUGCGAAACUAAACAUCAUCUUCCUCACUGCCCUCCUCACUGUCCUCAAUUUCAACUGUAGUACAGGAUGAACUUACAGCCUCCUGGGUGGUGGAAGUGGUUGCACCUCCCUGGUUAAGUCUACGAUGGGCUGUCUGCAUCCAUAGCUCUACUCCUGGCUUUGGGUCAAAUGUAUCUGGACUCAUCUUUGACAAGUGAAUUGUUCAUUCAAUGCGUGAGUAUGUGACAGACGGGAUCUGUACUUGUUUUUUAUUAUAUUGAGGUGUGAGAAACCCCUCUCACAAGCAGCACUGCUCAGAGGAAGUGUAAGGGACAAUUUAAGAAUCGUUGCAGUCACGAUCUGGAUCGCUCGUAUUAACUAUCUUCUUGACCAAGUCAUACACAGAAGAUGCUGCCAAUCGCUUUCCUGCUUGCUUUAAACACAUCCAUUCUCUAUAGUGGAGUCAUUUGUAUAUUUUUUUGCUCCACCUCUGAAUAAAUAAAACUGUAAUAAACUUGACAACGGAUCGAUUAAACGUCACACAAUAGGAAACCUCCCUUCAGCUGAUUUUGCAGUGCACAGAACAUGCACAAGGGAAUCCCCGAUCGCCACCAUUCGCCGUAGAUUCGGUAAAAUGCCGUCGUACGUACCGACACUGACAUCUUUUGAGGUGGCGGAAUGCCAAAGAAGCUACUUAAAGUUUGCUGUUUUUUGGACAUCUCUCACAGUAUUUAUAUCUAAAUCGAUCUAAAAUGGCGACUGUGCAUUAACGCCCGUCAACGACGUCAGCACGCACGUGAGCGUUUAGAGCAUAUUAACAGCGAGCAUUUUUUAUUUUGGGGGCGCAUGCGCACCAGUUGUGUGCAUCCCUGUGUAUUGAUAUUAUUAAAAUUGUAUUUAUUUCCUUUUUAUACUUAGAUGUUGUAAAGCACAUUGGUCAACAUGUGAUGUUUGAAUAGUGCUGUACAAAUAUAGUUGACUGACAUAUGACCUCACAUUUUAUAAAAAAAUUUGGCAUACAGAGCUGAUUGAUUUUUUUUUUGUUUUGUUUUCCAUCUAGAUUUUAUGUGGAUUGAUAUAACGGUUGUGUUUGUCUGAAGUUUUAUUUAUUUAUUUAUUUGUUUAUUUAUUUGUAUUAGAACAGUGCACGUUAAUCAACAAAUCAGCAAUAAGCAUCAGUGUAAAUAUGCCAGAAUUAGCACAAUAGCUAAAUUUCAUCCGUUGUCCUAAGGCAAGUAUCACAAAACACAAA